This 293-nucleotide ribosomal RNA is filed under the name uncultured bacterium. Its description in RNAcentral is "partial 16S ribosomal RNA". It matches the Rfam family "Bacterial small subunit ribosomal RNA", at positions 775 to 1067 of the family's 1533-position model. The record is from RNAcentral.
GGAUUAGAUACCCUGGUAGUCCACGCCGUAAACGAUGUCUACUAGCCGUUGGGAGACUUGAUUUCUUAGUGGCGCAGCUAACGCAAUAAGUAGACCGCCUGGGGAGUACGGCCGCAAGGUUAAAACUCAAAUGAAUUGACGGGGGCCCGCACAAGCGGUGGAGCAUGUGGUUUAAUUCGAUGCAACGCGAAGAACCUUACCAGGCCUUGACAUCCUCGGAACUUUCUAGAGAUAGAUUGGUGCCUUCGGGAACCGAGUGACAGGUGCUGCAUGGCUGUCGUCAGCUCGUGCCG